RNAcentral lists this long non-coding RNA (573 nucleotides) under Homo sapiens (human). RNAcentral's name for it is "HSALNT0232844". Lineage: Eukaryota; Metazoa; Chordata; Mammalia; Primates; Hominidae. The record is from RNAcentral.
UUGUUUUCACUUGCUUUUUAAAGACAGAAAGCUCAUGGUGCAAAUUGUUAUUUCCAGGGAUACAUUGGCCUGCAGGUCCCAGUUCACAUGUAGUCCCCUGCUCACCAUUGGAGAAUCAGCUCACUGCUCUCUAGAAACGUGGCGUUGGUGAACGGACCAUGCUUCCGUAGCUCUGACCUGGGCAGCUUGGACCUGGUCAUCCUCUACUGCCAUACCUUUCCCUGGGGGCUUGAACACAGAACAGGGAGAUGGACAACCACUUCAAAGAAAGACCCACCGAAUGCAGUUUCUGCUUGACUGACUGGGCCUGCAGCUCCCUUCUCCUGGGACUUAGAGGUGGCCAGAUUUAAGGCCCCUCUACUCAUCCAACUCCCUCUUCACUGGUACUCCCAAUCAAUCAAAGAACCUCAAAAUUUAAACUGAUGUGGAUGGGAAUAUGGGAAUUAGGGUGGGGGUGGGGGAUGAAGGGAAGAAAUCACUGUGCUUUGUUCGGCCUGGUGUGCAAGGAUGGUUGGUGGUUUUCCUGCAUUGUAUCUUUUCUUACUGUUUCUUUAAUAAAUGGGAUGAGAGGGC